GACGAACGCUGGUGGCGUGCUUAACACAUGCAAGUCGAACGGAAAGGCCCUGCUUUUGUGGGGUGCUCGAGUGGCGAACGGGUGAGUAACACGUGAGUAACCUGCCCUUGACUUUGGGAUAACUUCAGGAAACUGGGGCUAAUACCGGAUAUGAGCUCCUGCUGCAUGGUGGGGGUUGGAAAGUUUCGGCGGUUGGGGAUGGACUCGCGGCUUAUCAGCUUGUUGGUGGGGUAGUGGCUUACCAAGGCUUUGACGGGUAGCAGGCCUGAGAGGGUGACCGGCCACAUUGGGACUGAGAGACGGCCCAGACUCCGACGGGAGGCAGCAGUGGGGAAUAUUGAACAAUGGGCGGAAGCCUGAUGCAGCAACGCCGCGUGCGGGAUGACGGCCUUCGGGUUGUAAAACGCUUUCGCCUGUGACGAAGCGUGAGUGACGGUAAUGGGUAAAGAAGCACCGGCUAACUACGUG
RNAcentral lists this ribosomal RNA (468 nucleotides) under uncultured bacterium. RNAcentral's name for it is "partial 16S ribosomal RNA". It matches the Rfam family "Bacterial small subunit ribosomal RNA", at positions 28 to 507 of the family's 1533-position model. The record is from RNAcentral.